UGUCAAAUGCAUGUUAUCACUGCGGUACAAUAUUAGUGAGUUGUCCUGGCAGACGCAUUGGUAUUAUUCCAGUCUUAAAGGAAAUGGUGACUGAGCGAUUAACCUAACCUGUCAUUCUCUUUUCGAGCCAGGUCAACCACCAUUGCCCCCAGCACUACAUGACGCAUCUCUUAUCAUAAACACAUCUCUAUCAUAAAUACUUCUGCGCCGCACCUCAACUACUUUUGAAAGGUACGGAGGACACUUACUCAGCUCCUCUGCCAGCAGCACUCUCCGGCCCGUCAGCAGCUGCUCCUUCUUCUCCUGGUCACACCCAAACUCCUCCAGCACUUCCUUGAUCUCCUUCUCCAGGCGCCGUGCUGCAACAACAGAUGCAUAUAAUGAAUGAUCUGGUCCAUACCCACCUUCCCUGUUCAUGACCUGCUGACGGAGAGCAUUGGCCGUUAUCUUGAACAUCUGCUGGAUCCGCCAGAAGAGCACCACGUCAUUGCACUCCACCUGAGGGAGGCAGGCAGGUGGCUUGCUGUAUACUGAGAACUUCUGCAGAUUGGUCUGGGGUUACUGCUGCUGUCGCCAACACCACCAUUAAAUAGAUACAAAUAACCCCUUCUCUUACUGUCACCUGUGUGUUAGAUUUGUUGGCUGGCUGUGAUGCUGGUGACAAGCUGCAUUAUGUGAUAAGAGUUCGAAGGACUCCCCAAAUUUAAUAGUUUUUUUUUUUUAUGUGUGUGUUCUGGCAGGAGCUACUCUUUCUCCAGAGAGUCUUUGAAGUAAAUUUCAAGGAUCUUGUACUAAAAUUAAUUUAAUGAAAUGUAUCAAGUUAAAUAGAAUUAAUUUAUUGAAAUAAUACUAAAUUGAAUUAAUUUAAUGAAAUGAUACAUUUAAUUAAUUAAAUUAAUUCUAUUUAGUAUUUUGUAUCAAGUUAAAUUCUCUCUUCUCUUUUCCUCUCAGAGUAUAUAAAGUUACAUUUUUAUGUAUCACAUUAAAUUUUCUGUUCUCUUUUUCCUCUCAAUGUUUAAGUUAAAAUAAAAUGUAUCAAGUUAAAUUCUC
Scylla paramamosain (green mud crab) is the source of this 1050-nucleotide long non-coding RNA. RefSeq lists it as uncharacterized. NCBI's taxonomy places the organism in Eukaryota, Metazoa, Arthropoda, Malacostraca, Decapoda, Portunidae. The transcript is spliced from 4 exons. The record is from RefSeq and is a predicted model, not a curated record.